RNAcentral lists this long non-coding RNA (323 nucleotides) under Trifolium pratense (red clover). RNAcentral describes it as "long non-coding RNA (TPRA_LNC010169)". The record is from RNAcentral. Lineage: Eukaryota; Viridiplantae; Streptophyta; Magnoliopsida; Fabales; Fabaceae.
CAAACUGACUAUCUCAUUUUCCUUCAACUUCCUCUUGUGUGUGCACAAGUCUUUCAGGAAUUUUGCAUAUUUAGGAAUCUGUUUAAUUGCAUCAAGGAGAGGAAUGUUAACCGCACAUUUUCUGAAUACAUCUAAAAUCUCCUUGUCUUCCUCAACUGUCUUCUUGAUAUUUUUCUGCACCCUUUGAGGAAAAGGAAUUGGUGGCACAUAUACUCUUUCUUUUUCGGGUUCGAUCUCAAUUGUAACAGAAGGAGGUUCAGGAACAGAUGAUGAUGCAACGGUUUUCUUCUUCUUUUUCUCUGGAGCUGGUUCUGACACUCUUC